AUACGGAGGAUCCGAGCGUUAUCCGGAUUUAUUGGGUUUAAAGGGUGCGCAGGCGGCCAUUUAAGUCAGCGGUUAAAUCGUGGGGCUCAACCCCAUUCUGCCGUUGAUACUGGGUGGCUUGAUUGCGGUCGAGGUUGGCGGAAUUCGUUGUGUAGCGGUGAAAUGCAUAGAUAUGACGAAGAACACCGAUUGCGUAGGCAGCUGACCAGACCGCAAAUGACGCUCAUGCACGAAAGUGCGGGGAUCAAACAGGAUUAGAUACCCUGGUAGUCCGCACAGUAAACGAUGAAUACUCGCUGUUUGCGAUACACUGUAAGCGGCCAAGCGAAAGCGUUAAGUAUUCCACCUGGGGAGUACGCCGGCAACGGUGAAACUUAAAGGAAUUGACGGGG
This 392-nucleotide ribosomal RNA is filed under the name uncultured bacterium. Its description in RNAcentral is "partial 16S ribosomal RNA". It matches the Rfam family "Bacterial small subunit ribosomal RNA", at positions 523 to 918 of the family's 1533-position model. The record is from RNAcentral.